AGUGAACGCUGGCGGUAGGCCUAACACAUGCAAGUCGAACGGCAGCACAGUAAGAGCUUGCUCUUACGGGUGGCGAGUGGCGGACGGGUGAGGAAUACAUCGUAAUCUACUUUUUCGUGGGGGAUAACGUAGGGAAACUUACGCUAAUACCGCAUACGACCUACGGGUGAAAGCAGUGGAUCUUCGGACCUUGCGCGAUUGAAUGAGCCGAUGUCGGAUUAGCUAGUUGGGCGGGUAAAGGCCCACCAAGGCGACGAUCCGUAGCUGGUCAGAGAGGCUGGUAGGCCGCCCUGGAACUGAGACACGCUCCAGACUCCUACGGGAGGCCGCAGUGGGGAAUAUUGGACAAUGGGCGCAAGCAUGAUCCAGCCAUCCCGCGUGGGUGAAGGAGGCCUUCGGGUUGUAAAGCCCUUUUGUUGGGAAAGAACAGCAGCAGGUUAAUACCCAGCUGUUGUGACGGUACCCAAAGAAUAAGCACCGGCUAACUUCGUG
This 492-nucleotide ribosomal RNA is filed under the name uncultured bacterium. RNAcentral's name for it is "partial 16S ribosomal RNA". It matches the Rfam family "Bacterial small subunit ribosomal RNA", at positions 29 to 507 of the family's 1533-position model. The record is from RNAcentral.